UCCAGAAGAAACCAAGGCAGAUAUUAUUUGAUGGACCUUAUGUUGCCCAUCACAGAAAUGGGAGGGCCGACUACAGAUGUAGGAAACAAAAAGAAGUAUUGAGGCUACCAUUAGUUGCUCUUUCAAAGAAAUUUGAUGAAUGUGAAGGGGUACUUUCAUCAUGCUAGUUGCUUGCAUCGGUUGCUUGUGUCAUCCUCUAACUCUUAGUUAUCUUCAUUAGAGCCACUUUACAUCCCUAGAUGACCUUAAUUAAGACUCUUGAUUCCAAGAACUGAUUCUAUGCAAAGGCAAUAAUAGCCUAGGGCAGGACCAAGUGAAAAUGAAAAGGAGGCCAUACUGAAGUUCGAAUUUUGAACCCCUCGCCAAGAAAUGAGAGGUUUUUUUUUCCCUAAAUGAUCUCAUAUAUGUUUGCUUCACUGUAAAGGUAGUAAUACGCUAAGAAUGUAAUAACUACUGCAUAACAGAAAUACAUACAUUAGUUGGUUGGUUGAAUUAGAAUUACUUUAUAAU
RNAcentral lists this long non-coding RNA (510 nucleotides) under Carica papaya (papaya). Its description in RNAcentral is "long non-coding RNA (CPAP_LNC002852)". The record is from RNAcentral. Lineage: Eukaryota; Viridiplantae; Streptophyta; Magnoliopsida; Brassicales; Caricaceae.